AGGACGGGGCGGCAUGCCUAUACAUGCAGUCGAACGAGCUUCCGUUGAAUGACGUGCUUGCACUGAUUUCAACAAUGAAGCGAGUGGCGAACUGGUGAGUAACACGUGGGAAAUCUGCCCAGAAGCAGGGGAUAACACUUGGAAACAGGUGCUAAUACCGUAUAACAACAAAAUCCGCAUGGAUUUUGUUUGAAAGGUGGCUUCGGCUAUCACUUCUGGAUGAUCCCGCGGCGUAUUAGUUAGUUGGUGAGGUAAAGGCCCACCAAGACGAUGAUACGUAGCCGACCUGAGAGGGUAAUCGGCCACAUUGGGACUGAGACACGGCCCAAACUCCUACGGGAGGCAGCAGUAGGGAAUCUUCCACAAUGGACGAAAGUCUGAUGGAGCAAUGCCGCGUGAGUGAAGAAGGGUUUCGGCUCGUAAAACUCUGUUGUUAAAGAAGAACACCUUUGAGAGUAACUGUUCAAGGGUUGACGGUAUUUAACCAGAAAGCCACGGCUAACUACGUGCCAGCAGCCGCGGUAAUACGUAGGUGGCAAGCGUUGUCCGGAUUUAUUGGGCGUAAAGCGAGCGCAGGCGGUUUUUUAAGUCUGAUGUGAAAGCCUUCGGCUUAACCGGAGAAGUGCAUCGGAAACUGGGAGACUUGAGUGCAGAAGAGGACAGUGGAACUCCAUGUGUAGCGGUGGAAUGCGUAGAUAUAUGGAAGAACACCAGUGGCGAAGGCGGCUGUCUAGUCUGUAACUGACGCUGAGGCUCGAAAGCAUGGGUAGCGAACAGGAUUAGAUACCCUGGUAGUCCAUGCCGUAAACGAUGAGUGCUAAGUGUUGGAGGGUUUCCGCCCUUCAGUGCUGCAGCUAACGCAUUAAGCACUCCGCCUGGGGAGUAC
RNAcentral lists this ribosomal RNA (886 nucleotides) under Levilactobacillus brevis. Its description in RNAcentral is "bacterial SSU rRNA". It matches the Rfam family "Bacterial small subunit ribosomal RNA", at positions 26 to 883 of the family's 1533-position model. Lineage: Bacteria; Bacillati; Bacillota; Bacilli; Lactobacillales; Lactobacillaceae. The record is from RNAcentral.